AGUGAACGCUGGCGGUAGGCCUAACACAUGCAAGUCGAACGGCAGCACAGUAAGAGCUUGCUCUUACGGGUGGCGAGUGGCGGACGGGUGAGGAAUACAUCGGAAUCUACUUUUUCGUGGGGGAUAACGUAGGGAAACUUAAGCUAAUACAGCAUACGACCUACGGGUGAAAGCAGGGGAACUUCGGACCUUGCGCGAUUGAAUGAGCCGAUGUCGGAUUAGCUAGUUGGCGGGGUAAAGGCCCACCAAGGCGACGAUCCGUAGCUGGUCUGAGAGGAUGAUCAGCCACACUGGAACUUAGACACGCUCCAGACUCCUACGGGAGGCAGCAGUGGGGAAUAUUGGACAAUGGGCGCAAGCCUGAUCCAGCCAUACCGCGUGUGUGAAGAAGGCCUUCGGGUUGUAAAGCCCUUUUGUUGGGAAAGAAAAGCAGCAGGUUAAUACCCCGCUGUUCUGACGGUACCCAAAGAAUAAGCACCGGCUAACUUCGUG
RNAcentral lists this ribosomal RNA (492 nucleotides) under uncultured bacterium. Its description in RNAcentral is "partial 16S ribosomal RNA". It matches the Rfam family "Bacterial small subunit ribosomal RNA", at positions 29 to 507 of the family's 1533-position model. The record is from RNAcentral.